RNAcentral lists this microRNA precursor (127 nucleotides) under Brassica napus (rape). RNAcentral's name for it is "pre miRNA MIR168". It matches the Rfam family "MIR168 microRNA precursor family". Lineage: Eukaryota; Viridiplantae; Streptophyta; Magnoliopsida; Brassicales; Brassicaceae. The record is from Rfam by way of RNAcentral.
UCACCGUCGGGCUCGGAUUCGCUUGGUGCAGGUCGGGACACAAAAUCACUGGUGCUUUUGCCUUAUUGGUUUGUGAGCAGGGAUUGGCUCCCGCCUUGCAUCAACUGAAUCGGAGCCUCCAAUGGUG